UAAGGAAUAUUGGUCAAUGGACGCAAGUCUGAACCAGCCAUGCCGCGUGAAGGAUGAAGGUCCUCUGGAUUGUAAACUUCUUUUAUCUGGGACGAAAACGGGAUUUUUAUCUCAAUUGACGGUACCAGAGGAAUAAGCACCGGCUAACUCCGUGCCAGCAGCCGCGGUAAUAAGGAGGGUGCGAGCGUUAUCCGGAUUUACUGGGUUUAAAGGGUGCGUAGGUGGGCUUAUAAGUCAGUGGUGAAAUCUCCGAGCUUAACUUGGAAACUGCCGUUGAUACUAUAGGUCUUGAAUUAUCUGGAGGUAAGCGGAAUAUGUCAUGUAGCGGUGAAAUGCUUAGAUAUGACAUAGAACACCAAUUGCGAAGGCAGCUUACUACAUAUAAAUUGACGCUGAGGCACGAAAGCGUGGGGAUCAAACA
This 421-nucleotide ribosomal RNA is filed under the name uncultured bacterium. RNAcentral's name for it is "bacterial SSU rRNA". It matches the Rfam family "Bacterial small subunit ribosomal RNA", at positions 355 to 774 of the family's 1533-position model. The record is from RNAcentral.